This 124-nucleotide microRNA precursor is filed under the name Hordeum vulgare. Its description in RNAcentral is "microRNA MIR1122". It matches the Rfam family "MIR1120/MIR1122 microRNA precursor family". The record is from RNAcentral. Lineage: Eukaryota; Viridiplantae; Streptophyta; Magnoliopsida; Poales; Poaceae.
AUUAUACUCCUUCCGUCCGGAAAUACUUGUCUUAGAAAUUGAUAUAUCUAGACUUAUUUUAGUUAAAGAUACAUUCAUUGUAUAUAUUUUUAGGACAAGUAUUUUCGGACAGAGGGAGUAGAAU